UACGGAGGGGGCAAGCGUUGUUCGGAUUUACUGGGCGUAAAGGGUGUGUAGGCGGCUGGAUCAGUCUGGUGUGAAAUCUUCACCGCUUAACGGGAAGGGGUCACUGGAAACUGUCCAGCUUGAGUAUGGUAGAGGCAAGCGGAAUUCCUGGUGUAGCGGUGGAAUGUGUAGAUAUCAGGAAGAACACCGGUGGCGAAGGCGGCUUGCUGGGCCAUCACUGACGCUGAGACACGAAAGCGUGGGGAGCAAACGGG
Molecule: ribosomal RNA, 254 nt
Filed under: uncultured bacterium
Lineage: Bacteria
Description: partial 16S ribosomal RNA
Rfam family: Bacterial small subunit ribosomal RNA
Source: RNAcentral